UACGUAGGGGGCUAGCGUUGUCCGGAUUUAUUGGGCGUAAAGAGCGUGUAGGCGGCUUGGCAAGUCUGGUGUGAAAUCUUGCGGCUCAACCGCAAGCGGUCGCUGGAAACUGCCUCGCUAGAGUCCGGAAGAGGAGAGCGGAAUUCCUGGUGUAGCGGUGGAAAUGCGCAGAUAUCAGGAAGAACACCAGUGGCGAAGGCGGCUCACUGGUCCGGUACUGACGCUG
This 226-nucleotide ribosomal RNA is filed under the name uncultured bacterium. Its description in RNAcentral is "partial 16S ribosomal RNA". It matches the Rfam family "Bacterial small subunit ribosomal RNA", at positions 524 to 748 of the family's 1533-position model. The record is from RNAcentral.